This 497-nucleotide ribosomal RNA is filed under the name uncultured bacterium. RNAcentral's name for it is "partial 16S ribosomal RNA". It matches the Rfam family "Bacterial small subunit ribosomal RNA", at positions 28 to 507 of the family's 1533-position model. The record is from RNAcentral.
GAUGAACGCUGGCGGCGUGCCUAAUACAUGCCAGUCGAGCGAACAGACGAGGAGCUUGCUCCUCUGACGUUAGCGGCGGACGGGUGAGUAACACGUGGAUAACCUACCUAUAAGACUGGGAUAACUUCGGGAAACCGGAGCUAAUACCGGAUAAUAUAUUGAACCGCAUGGUUCAAUAGUGAAAGACGGUUUUGCUGCCACUUAUAGAUGGAUCCGCGCCGCAUUAGCUAGUUGGUAAGGUAACGGCUUACCAAGGCAACGAUGCGUAGCCGACCUGAGAGGGUGAUCGGCCACACUGGAACUGAGACACGGUCCAGACUCCUACGGGAGGCAGCAGUAGGGAAUCUUCCGCAAUGGGCGAAAGCCUGACGGAGCAACGCCGCGUGAGUGAUGAAGGUCUUCGGAUCGUAAAACUCUGUUAUUAGGGAAGAACAAAUGUGUAAGUGACUAUGCACGUCUUGACGGUACCUAAUCAGAAAGCCACGGCUAACUACGUG